This 274-nucleotide unclassified non-coding RNA is filed under the name rhizosphere metagenome. RNAcentral's name for it is "partial ribosomal RNA internal transcribed spacer region". The record is from RNAcentral.
GUAGGUGAACCUGCGGAAGGAUCAUUAUCGUACAAAAUGUGAGAGGGGCAUGCGAGGGCUGUCGCUGACUCAAAGUCGUGCACGCCCGAGUGUGUCGCCUCACAUAAUAAUCCAUCUCACCCUUUGUGCAUCACCGCGUGGGCACCCCUUUGGGAUCAUCUCGGAGGGGGCUCGCGUUUUCACACAAAACCCCCCUUUUAAAAGUGUAGAAUGACCUCAUUUAUGCGCUAACCCGCAAUCAAUACAACUUUCAACAACGGAUCUCUUGGCUCUC